ACAUCGCCUCUUGACACCCAUAAGAGGUCCAGCCUGCCCAGUGACCAAUUUAACGGCCGCGGUACCCUAACCGUGCGAAGGUAGCAUAAUCACUUGUUUCCUAAAUAGAGACUAGCAUCAACGGCAUCACGAAGACUACGCUGUCUUCCUCCUAAAAUCAAUGAAACUGAUCCCCUCGUGAAGAAGCGAGGAUGCGGAUAUAAGACGAGAAGACCCCAUGGAGCUUUAAACUAACUUCAAUUGCUCCUAAUCUUAUCAUAUAAAAUGAGCACUAAUAAAGGAUGUUUUCGGUUGGGGUGACCACGGAGUAAAACAAAACCUCCAUAGUGAAUGUAAUAAAUACUAACAAAAGAACUACAAUUCUAAUAAUCAAAAAAUUGACGCACUUGACCCAAAUAUUUGAUCAAUGAACCAAGUUACCCUGGGGAUAACAGCGCAAUCCAUUUUAAGAGCCCCUAUCGACAAAUGGGUUUACGACCUCGAUGUUGGAUCAGGGUAUCCUAGUGGUGCAGCCGCUACUAAUGGUUCGUUUGUUCAACGAUUAAAACCCUACGUGAU
Molecule: ribosomal RNA, 558 nt
Filed under: Leptopelis viridis (rusty forest treefrog)
Lineage: Eukaryota; Metazoa; Chordata; Amphibia; Anura; Arthroleptidae
Description: partial large subunit ribosomal RNA
Rfam family: Bacterial large subunit ribosomal RNA
Source: RNAcentral